RNAcentral lists this ribosomal RNA (467 nucleotides) under uncultured bacterium. Its description in RNAcentral is "partial 16S ribosomal RNA". It matches the Rfam family "Bacterial small subunit ribosomal RNA", at positions 28 to 507 of the family's 1533-position model. The record is from RNAcentral.
GACGAACGCUGGCGGCGUGCUUAACACAUGCAAGUCGAACGGAAAGGCCCUGCUUUUGUGGGGUGCUCGAGUGGCGAACGGGUGAGUAACACGUGAGUAACCUGCCCUUGACUUUGGGAUAACUUCAGGAAACUGGGGCUAAUACCGGAUAGGAGCUCCUGCUGCAUGGUGGGGGUUGGAAAGUUUCGGCGGUUGGGGAUGGACUCGCGGCUUAUCAGCUUGUUGGUGGGGUAGUGGCUUACCAAGGCUUUGACGGGUAGCCGGCCUGAGAGGGUGACCGGCCACAUUGGGACUAGAUACGGCCCAGACUCCUACGGGAGGCAGCAGUGGGGAAUAUUGCACAAUGGGCGGAAGCCUGAUGCAGCAACGCCGCGUGCGGGAUGACGGCCUUCGGGUUGUAAACCGCUUUCGCCUGUGACGAAGCGUGAGUGACGGUAAUGGGUAAAGAAGCACCGGCUAACUACGUG